This 67-nucleotide transfer RNA is filed under the name Plegadiphilus threskiornis. RNAcentral's name for it is "tRNA-Pro". It matches the Rfam family "tRNA". Rfam says of the family: Transfer RNA (tRNA) molecules are approximately 80 nucleotides in length. Their secondary structure includes four short double-helical elements and three loops (D, anti-codon, and T loops). The record is from RNAcentral. Lineage: Eukaryota; Metazoa; Arthropoda; Insecta; Psocodea; Menoponidae.
CAGGAAGUAGUUUAAUAGCAAAAUAACGACAUUGGAAGUCGUAGAUAGGUGUGUCUUCUCUUUCUGA